GGGCGAAUGGUCUAGGGGUAUGAUACUCCCUUCGCAUUAUCUGAUCUUCAUCAGUACAGUGUCUGGGAGGGGUCCGGGGUUCAAUUCCCCGUUCGUCCA
Xylariaceae sp. FL0594 is the source of this 99-nucleotide non-coding RNA. NCBI's taxonomy places the organism in Eukaryota, Fungi, Ascomycota, Sordariomycetes, Xylariales, Xylariaceae. The record is from the annotation of a GenBank genome assembly.